GCCUAGUUAGCUUAGUUGAUAGUGCGUCAGCCUUGUAAGCGCUAGGCCGCGGGUUCGAUUCCCGCCCGGGGCG
Molecule: transfer RNA, 73 nt
Filed under: Diaphorina citri (Asian citrus psyllid)
Lineage: Eukaryota; Metazoa; Arthropoda; Insecta; Hemiptera; Psyllidae
Rfam family: tRNA
About the family: Transfer RNA (tRNA) molecules are approximately 80 nucleotides in length. Their secondary structure includes four short double-helical elements and three loops (D, anti-codon, and T loops).
Source: Rfam by way of RNAcentral